AGACCUUUCAGGAAUCCUCAUUUGGAACUCAGCUCUCUUUGGCAAUAAAGCUGAUGAAGAAAGACGGACAAAGAAUCUGGACGAGAGAGAGAGAGAGAGAUUGGGGGGACGCAUACAGCAACUGAGAGGGCAAGGAGGAGGGGGAGAGGUAGAAACAGGAGGGAAAGGGGAAGUUAGGGAGAGAGAGAGAGAGAGAUUGGGGGGACGCAUACAGCAACUGAGAGGGCAAGGAGGAGGGGGAGAGGUAGAAACAGGAGGGAAAGGGGAAGUUAGGGAUAGGUAUUAUGGGAAUAAAAGAAAUUUCUCUUUCAUGUGACUUGUUUGCAUAUGAAAUAUACGGGUUUCAAAAAAAUUAAUAGAACAACUGAAGUAUUCGACAUAAUCAAAUUCAAACAUUAGGAUUAUGAGAACCUGAG
RNAcentral lists this long non-coding RNA (416 nucleotides) under Manihot esculenta (cassava). RNAcentral's name for it is "long non-coding RNA (MESC_LNC008239)". Lineage: Eukaryota; Viridiplantae; Streptophyta; Magnoliopsida; Malpighiales; Euphorbiaceae. The record is from RNAcentral.